CGAACGCCACAAGUUUCCAUGAGAUUCCUUUGGUCCAGAACUGGCUUCUUGAACAUCCCAGGCCGCCCGUCCCAUCUUCUCUACUUCUGACAGAUGAGCAAGCUGCGCUGUUGAUCCAGGCUUUCUGGAGAGGGUACAAGAUUCGUGCACGUCCAGAUGUGCAAGAGUU
This is a long non-coding RNA of Puntigrus tetrazona (Sumatra barb), 169 nucleotides long. RefSeq lists it as uncharacterized. NCBI's taxonomy places the organism in Eukaryota, Metazoa, Chordata, Actinopteri, Cypriniformes, Cyprinidae. The record is from RefSeq and is a predicted model, not a curated record. The transcript has 3 exons.